GUCUGUUGAUACUCUGUAACAUAGUCUAACAGGGGAGAGGUCUGUUGAUACUCUGUUACAUAGUCUUACAGGGGAGAGGUCUGUUGAUACUCUGUUACAUAGUCUUUACAGGGGAGAGGUCUGUUGAUACUCUGUUACAUAGUCUUUACAGGGGAGAGGUCUGUUGAUACUCUGUUACAUAGUCUUUACAGGGGAGAGGUCUGUUGAUACUCUGGUACAUAGUCUUUACAGGGGAGAGGUCUGUUGAUACUCUGUUACAUAGUCUAACAGGGGAGAGGUCUGUUGAUACUCUGUUACAUAGUCUUCCAGGGGAGAGGUCUGUUGAUACUCUGUUACAUAGUCUUACAGGGGAGAGGUCUGUUGAUACUCUGUUACAUAGUCUUACAGGGGAGAGGUCUGUUGAUACUCUGUUACAUAGUCUUACAGGGGAGAGGUCUGUUGAUACUCUGUUACAUAGUCUAACAGGGGAGAGGUCUGUUGAUACUCUGUUACAUAGUCUUACAGGGGAGAGGUCUGUUGAUACUCUGUUAUAUGUGGAUUUUCACAUCUUAAACAAGGACACUCAUCGUGGCACAAUCCUAGGCUACAGAUAGGAAAGAAGUCUGUGUACUGGAAACAGUGGCUAUUGAAAGGAAUUCAUACUAUAGGUGAUCUGUACAAUGAAGUUUUAAUGUCAUUACUCAUAUGCUACAAAAUAUGAUGUGGGAGACAAGGGACAUUUCUGGAAAUAUUUAUUAACCGGCUAUCAACAAAAUCCAGCAAAUAACCCAAUAGCUGAGUAUUUGGAAUUGCCCAAACAAUAAGCAGUCAUAUUUUACUCAAUAUUUAGUCAUCUGCAGAGUAAAGACUGUAAAAACCUCAGAACAAUAUGGCAAAUUGACCUUAAGUGUGAAAUUGAGGAUGAUACCUGGUUGAAGAUCUUGUCCAGCUCAGGGAGGAACAUAAGGGAAGCCAGGGGGAAACUUACUCAAUAGAAGAUACUACAUAGGUCUUAUUGGACCCCAAC
Molecule: long non-coding RNA, 1006 nt
Filed under: Salmo salar (Atlantic salmon)
Lineage: Eukaryota; Metazoa; Chordata; Actinopteri; Salmoniformes; Salmonidae
Description: lncRNA (ENSSSAG00000088916.1, ENSSSAG00000110194.1)
Source: RNAcentral